This 445-nucleotide ribosomal RNA is filed under the name uncultured bacterium. RNAcentral's name for it is "partial 16S ribosomal RNA". It matches the Rfam family "Bacterial small subunit ribosomal RNA", at positions 354 to 796 of the family's 1533-position model. The record is from RNAcentral.
GUGAGGAAUAUUGGUCAAUGGGCGGGAGCCUGAACCAGCCAAGUCGCGUGAAGGAAGAAGGAUCUAUGGUUCGUAAACUUCUUUUGCAGGGGAAUAAAGUGCAGGACGUGUCCUGUUUUGUAUGUACCCUGAGAAUAAGGAUCGGCUAACUCCGUGCCAGCAGCCGCGGUAAUACGGAGGAUCCGAGCGUUAUCCGGAUUUAUUGGGUUUAAAGGGUGCGUAGGUGGUUUGAUAAGUCAGCGGUGAAAGUUUGCAGCUUAACUGUAAAAAUGCCGUUGAAACUGUCGGACUUGAGUGUAAAUGAGGUAGGCGGAAUGUGUGGUGUAGCGGUGAAAUGCAUAGAUAUCACGCAGAACUCCGAUUGCGAAGGCAGCUUACUAAGCUACAACUGACACUGAAGCACGAAAGCGUGGGGAUCAAACAGGAUUAGAUACCCGAGUAGUCC